GACGAACGCUGGUGGCGUGCUUAACACAUGCAAGUCGAACGGAAAGGCCCUGCUUUUGUGGGGUGCUCGAGUGGCGAACGGGUGAGUAACACGUGAGUAACCUGCCCUUGACUUUGGGAUAACUUCAGGAAACUGGGGCUAAUACCGGAUAGGAGCUCCUGCUGCAUGGUGGGGGUUGGAAAGUUUCGGCGGUUGGGGAUGGACUCGCGGCUUAUCAGCUUGUUGGUGGGGUAGUGGCUUACCAAGGCUUUGACGGGUAGCCGGCCUGAGAGGGUGACCGGCCACAUUGGGACUGAGAUACGGCCCAGACUCCUACGGGAGGCAGCAGUGGGGAAUAUUGCACAAUGGGCGGAAGCCUGAUGCAGCAACGCCGCAUGCGGGAUGACGGCCUUCGGGUUGUAAACCGCUUUCGCCUGUGACGAAGCGUGAGUGACGGUAAUGGGUAAAGGAGCACCGGCUAACUAC
This 465-nucleotide ribosomal RNA is filed under the name uncultured bacterium. Its description in RNAcentral is "partial 16S ribosomal RNA". It matches the Rfam family "Bacterial small subunit ribosomal RNA", at positions 28 to 504 of the family's 1533-position model. The record is from RNAcentral.